CAUCGCAGACAUUUUGACAUGUCAUAGCAAGAAAAUCACAGGUGUGAUUAAUCCAUCUAAAAAGGAAAGGGAUUCUGUCCUCAAAUAAGUCACUAUUUAACAGUCUGGUCAAGUGCAACAUUUUCAGGCAAUACUUCCUUGUCUGGUCCAGUAAAAUAAUGCAUUUUGAGUGUAGGACUACCUAUUCCUGGUUAAAUGCUCUACCUGUGGAAUGGUUGUGUUUCUUGUACAUACUGUAAUUCUCAAAUGCUCCUCAGUGUAGGACCUUCCUUUGAUCAUACACUUUUUACCACCUUCAGCACACAAUGUCAGUUCAUCACAUUCUUUCUGUAUGUCUAGUCAAUAAAUGCAUAGUUCAAGAGAUCGUCACGUAUGUAGAAUGCAUAUCAAGCCGAUGUUUGACCGUAUGCAGAAACUCUGCCAGUUUUUUCACUAGAGCAUGUAGGCCUACUGAUAGAGCCCAGCCUCUAAUGAACAAGUCAAGCCCUCGGACCAAAAGCUUUUACCCAAGACAUGUUGAGAUGAAGGAAGCUUAAGACAUUCUCCUUUUCACCAUAAAAUUGGCAUCAUAGUAGAUACAGGAGCUAAAAUAUCUGGUAGUCUAAUAAAGUAUUUGGCUCAUAUGUCAGUUUAUUCCUGAAUUUGGCAAAGCUGUUAUUAAGCAUUAAACCCAGGUGACAGUCUUCAUUUGAAAACAUUGGGUAUUAACACAGCACAUCCAAACGUGCUUAAUGAGGAACACACUUGUUUUAAAUAUACAAGGCUGUGGUUUGUCACAUCUGUCGGGUUUUACUUUAAUUCUAUUCAGGUCUUAUAUGUGGCUGUUGCAUUUUUACUGUGUUUAUUUCUAUGUUGACUAUUUUAUUCUGCCAUUUUGCACAUUACACAUGACAGCUAAGCAUUUCGUGAUCGAAUCAGGGUUUCCACUGAAACUGAUGACUGACACUCAAGCAUACUUAGGAUGGGGGCACAUACGUAUCAGUGGAUUUUCUGUAACGUCAAUACAGUUCUGCUGCAAUGAGGGUUUCCAUAACGAGCACAGAAAUCCCAUCCUGUGCGGAUUAAGAACUACGGAUCAGCAUCUCAAGGAAACACGUGCAAGGGGAUGAUUAGAGGGGAGGGCCGAGAUGGACAACCAGCUAUCCACCAUCUUGGAAAUAGCCCUGUGGUUCGGUGGCACUGGUUUCUAUACAUACCACGUCCUUUUCGCAUCCUAGGCCACAGGCCGCCUCCAGCAGUUCAACCAGGGCGACUACUGGGGUGCACUUGAUUCAGAGCUCUACUGCCGCAUUUUCAUAGCACGCUCUUCCCUUCACACCCAUCCACCAAAUGUGUUAUCCUGCCCUUUGACCCCAUCUGCACCUACCAGGGAGGACAGCCAUCUGCCUCAGACACCUGAAUAUUGCCAUCCGCAUCAUCCUCCAAGGUCGAUCCUUCCUCUCCCACUUACUCCCGACCAAUCAGUGGUGUUCAGCUCUGCAAACUUCAGCCCAAUAGCUCCUGAACCAUCACAAUGUACUGCCCCCACAGCAGGGACUGCUUUUACACCUGGAACAAUCCAACAGGAAAAGAUUUGGUUCCUCCAGUCAAAACUCCUCAAAAGGCAGGGCCAUGUGAGAGGCAGCAGUGGACUGAAUAACUCCCAGCUCUCCCCUGUGGAAUGGACCCCCUUAUUGAAUGGAGUGUUGUCUCUCAGGCCGAGCGCUGGCCUUGAUUUGGAGCCAGGAAACCCAACUGUCCCUGUCCAUCAGUAUGACAAGCCGAGCCGACGAUAAACCCAACGACCUGGCAGAGGGGGGCACAGGAGUGCUGGGUUAGGGCUGGGGUAGUUAGGGAUUCUGCAGAGGGUACUGAUGAUUGGCAGGCAGAAGGACAGAUUUACUUUCCUGCCGAUGAUCAUAGCCAUCGUGGUUCACCUGAUCUCUGCAGUAUCCUGUCCAGCUGCCUUGCCUGCUCUGCCUACCACGCCAACUGAGCCAACUCCAGAACACUUUCACCGCCUCUAUCCUCAGAGCCUUGCCGAUUCUAAAUGAACAACACUGGAAGGUUUCCUCAUUGGCUUUGCCACGGACUACAGCUGCCUCGUCCGCUCUGGAGGAGCAUUCUACCCACCAGUGAUCUUUGUCACAUUUAGAAUAAAGAAUGUUGAACUAAC
Siniperca chuatsi (mandarin fish) is the source of this 2155-nucleotide long non-coding RNA. RefSeq lists it as uncharacterized. The transcript has 4 exons. The record is from RefSeq and is a predicted model, not a curated record. NCBI's taxonomy places the organism in Eukaryota, Metazoa, Chordata, Actinopteri, Centrarchiformes, Sinipercidae.